This 449-nucleotide ribosomal RNA is filed under the name uncultured bacterium. Its description in RNAcentral is "partial 16S ribosomal RNA". It matches the Rfam family "Bacterial small subunit ribosomal RNA", at positions 329 to 793 of the family's 1533-position model. The record is from RNAcentral.
UUCCAGACUCCUACGGGAGGCAGCAGUGGGGAAUAUUGCACAAUGGGGGGAACCCUGAUGCAGCGACGCCGCGUGAGGGAAGACGGCCUUCGGGUUGUAAACCUCUGUCGCAGGGGACGAAGAAGAUGACGGUACCCUGUGAGGAAGCCACGGCUAACUACGUGCCAGCAGCCGCGGUAAUACGGAGGAUGCGAGCGUUAUCCGGAUUUAUUGGGUUUAAAGGGUGCGUAGGCGGACAGUCAAGUCAGCGGUAAAAAUGCGGUGCUCAACGCCGUACAGCCGUUGAAACUGGCAGUCUUGAGUGGGCGAGAAGUAUGCGGAAUGCGUGGUGUAGCGGUGAAAUGCAUAGAUAUCACGCAGAACUCCGAUUGCGAAGGCAGCAUACCGGCGCCCGACUGACGCUGAGGCACGAAAGCGUGGGUAUCGAACAGGAUUAGAUACCCCUGUAA